This is a regulatory RNA element of Pseudomonadales bacterium, 148 nucleotides long. It matches the Rfam family "radC RNA". Lineage: Bacteria; Pseudomonadati; Pseudomonadota; Gammaproteobacteria; Pseudomonadales. The record is from Rfam.
AUCCAUCCCCAUGUUUGUCGGCGACGCUGACAGCAUCCCAGGCAGUCAAGGCCAUCAGGACUGCGGCGCGGCAACUGUGCGCUGGCUGGUUUUUUCACGGACGCUAUGCGUCUUUCACCCCAAGGGACAAACCACCCCUUGGGGCUGG